AUCCUCUGGUUCGUCUUCA
Molecule: small nuclear RNA, 19 nt
Filed under: Arabidopsis thaliana (thale cress)
Lineage: Eukaryota; Viridiplantae; Streptophyta; Magnoliopsida; Brassicales; Brassicaceae
Description: snRNA_04401
Source: RNAcentral